Molecule: non-coding RNA, 29 nt
Filed under: Mus musculus (house mouse)
Lineage: Eukaryota; Metazoa; Chordata; Mammalia; Rodentia; Muridae
Source: RNAcentral
UGAUUGUUUCUUUAGAAGGAUGCCGGUGU